Molecule: ribosomal RNA, 2903 nt
Filed under: Escherichia coli
Lineage: Bacteria; Pseudomonadati; Pseudomonadota; Gammaproteobacteria; Enterobacterales; Enterobacteriaceae
Description: 23S ribosomal RNA
Rfam family: Bacterial large subunit ribosomal RNA
Source: RNAcentral
GGUUAAGCGACUAAGCGUACACGGUGGAUGCCCUGGCAGUCAGAGGCGAUGAAGGACGUGCUAAUCUGCGAUAAGCGUCGGUAAGGUGAUAUGAACCGUUAUAACCGGCGAUUUCCGAAUGGGGAAACCCAGUGUGUUUCGACACACUAUCAUUAACUGAAUCCAUAGGUUAAUGAGGCGAACCGGGGGAACUGAAACAUCUAAGUACCCCGAGGAAAAGAAAUCAACCGAGAUUCCCCCAGUAGCGGCGAGCGAACGGGGAGCAGCCCAGAGCCUGAAUCAGUGUGUGUGUUAGUGGAAGCGUCUGGAAAGGCGCGCGAUACAGGGUGACAGCCCCGUACACAAAAAUGCACAUGCUGUGAGCUCGAUGAGUAGGGCGGGACACGUGGUAUCCUGUCUGAAUAUGGGGGGACCAUCCUCCAAGGCUAAAUACUCCUGACUGACCGAUAGUGAACCAGUACCGUGAGGGAAAGGCGAAAAGAACCCCGGCGAGGGGAGUGAAAAAGAACCUGAAACCGUGUACGUACAAGCAGUGGGAGCACGCUUAGGCGUGUGACUGCGUACCUUUUGUAUAAUGGGUCAGCGACUUAUAUUCUGUAGCAAGGUUAACCGAAUAGGGGAGCCGAAGGGAAACCGAGUCUUAACUGGGCGUUAAGUUGCAGGGUAUAGACCCGAAACCCGGUGAUCUAGCCAUGGGCAGGUUGAAGGUUGGGUAACACUAACUGGAGGACCGAACCGACUAAUGUUGAAAAAUUAGCGGAUGACUUGUGGCUGGGGGUGAAAGGCCAAUCAAACCGGGAGAUAGCUGGUUCUCCCCGAAAGCUAUUUAGGUAGCGCCUCGUGAACUCAUCUCCGGGGGUAGAGCACUGUUUCGGCAAGGGGGUCAUCCCGACUUACCAACCCGAUGCAAACUGCGAAUACCGGAGAAUGUUAUCACGGGAGACACACGGCGGGUGCUAACGUCCGUCGUGAAGAGGGAAACAACCCAGACCGCCAGCUAAGGUCCCAAAGUCAUGGUUAAGUGGGAAACGAUGUGGGAAGGCCCAGACAGCCAGGAUGUUGGCUUAGAAGCAGCCAUCAUUUAAAGAAAGCGUAAUAGCUCACUGGUCGAGUCGGCCUGCGCGGAAGAUGUAACGGGGCUAAACCAUGCACCGAAGCUGCGGCAGCGACACUAUGUGUUGUUGGGUAGGGGAGCGUUCUGUAAGCCUGUGAAGGUGUGCUGUGAGGCAUGCUGGAGGUAUCAGAAGUGCGAAUGCUGACAUAAGUAACGAUAAAGCGGGUGAAAAGCCCGCUCGCCGGAAGACCAAGGGUUCCUGUCCAACGUUAAUCGGGGCAGGGUGAGUCGACCCCUAAGGCGAGGCCGAAAGGCGUAGUCGAUGGGAAACAGGUUAAUAUUCCUGUACUUGGUGUUACUGCGAAGGGGGGACGGAGAAGGCUAUGUUGGCCGGGCGACGGUUGUCCCGGUUUAAGCGUGUAGGCUGGUUUUCCAGGCAAAUCCGGAAAAUCAAGGCUGAGGCGUGAUGACGAGGCACUACGGUGCUGAAGCAACAAAUGCCCUGCUUCCAGGAAAAGCCUCUAAGCAUCAGGUAACAUCAAAUCGUACCCCAAACCGACACAGGUGGUCAGGUAGAGAAUACCAAGGCGCUUGAGAGAACUCGGGUGAAGGAACUAGGCAAAAUGGUGCCGUAACUUCGGGAGAAGGCACGCUGAUAUGUAGGUGAAGUCCCUUGCGGAUGGAGCUGAAAUCAGUCGAAGAUACCAGCUGGCUGCAACUGUUUAUUAAAAACACAGCACUGUGCAAACACGAAAGUGGACGUAUACGGUGUGACGCCUGCCCGGUGCCGGAAGGUUAAUUGAUGGGGUCAGCGCAAGCGAAGCUCUUGAUCGAAGCCCCGGUAAACGGCGGCCGUAACUAUAACGGUCCUAAGGUAGCGAAAUUCCUUGUCGGGUAAGUUCCGACCUGCACGAAUGGCGUAAUGAUGGCCAGGCUGUCUCCACCCGAGACUCAGUGAAAUUGAACUCGCUGUGAAGAUGCAGUGUACCCGCGGCAAGACGGAAAGACCCCGUGAACCUUUACUAUAGCUUGACACUGAACAUUGAGCCUUGAUGUGUAGGAUAGGUGGGAGGCUUGGAAGUGUGGACGCCAGUCUGCAUGGAGCCGACCUUGAAAUACCACCCUUUAAUGUUUGAUGUUCUAACGUUGACCCGUAAUCCGGGUUGCGGACAGUGUCUGGUGGGUAGUUUGACUGGGGCGGUCUCCUCCUAAAGAGUAACGGAGGAGCACGAAGGUUGGCUAAUCCUGGUCGGACAUCAGGAGGUUAGUGCAAUGGCAUAAGCCAGCUUGACUGCGAGCGUGACGGCGCGAGCAGGUGCGAAAGCAGGUCAUAGUGAUCCGGUGGUUCUGAAUGGAAGGGCCAUCGCUCAACGGAUAAAAGGUACUCCGGGGAUAACAGGCUGAUACCGCCCAAGAGUUCAUAUCGACGGCGGUGUUUGGCACCUCGAUGUCGGCUCAUCACAUCCUGGGGCUGAAGUAGGUCCCAAGGGUAUGGCUGUUCGCCAUUUAAAGUGGUACGCGAGCUGGGUUUAGAACGUCGUGAGACAGUUCGGUCCCUAUCUGCCGUGGGCGCUGGAGAACUGAGGGGGGCUGCUCCUAGUACGAGAGGACCGGAGUGGACGCAUCACUGGUGUUCGGGUUGUCAUGCCAAUGGCACUGCCCGGUAGCUAAAUGCGGAAGAGAUAAGUGCUGAAAGCAUCUAAGCACGAAACUUGCCCCGAGAUGAGUUCUCCCUGACCCUUUAAGGGUCCUGAAGGAACGUUGAAGACGACGACGUUGAUAGGCCGGGUGUGUAAGCGCAGCGAUGCGUUGAGCUAACCGGUACUAAUGAACCGUGAGGCUUAACCUU